Molecule: ribosomal RNA, 477 nt
Filed under: uncultured bacterium
Lineage: Bacteria
Description: partial 16S ribosomal RNA
Rfam family: Bacterial small subunit ribosomal RNA
Source: RNAcentral
GACGAACGCUGGCGGCGUGCUUAACACAUGCAAGUCGAACGGGAUUUAGUAAACAGAAGCCUCGGUGGAAGAUUACUAAUGAGAGUGGCGAACGGGUGAGUAACGCGUGAGCAACCUGCCUAUGACAGUGGGAUAGCCUCGGGAAACCGGGAUUAAUACCGCAUAAAAUCGUAGAAACACAUGUUUUAACGGUCAAAGAUUUAUCGGUCAUAGAUGGGCUCGCGUCUGAUUAGCUAGUUGGUGAGAUAACAGCCCACCAAGGCGACGAUCAGUAGCCGGUCUGAGAGGAUGAACGGCCGCAUUAGAACUGAGACACGGUCCAAACUCCUACGGGAGGCAGCAGUGGGGAAUAUUGCACAAUGCGGGAAACCAUGAUGCAGCGACGCCGCGUGAACGAAGAAGGUAUUCGUAUCGUAAAGUUCUGUCCUAUGGGAAGAUAAUGACAGUACCAUAGAAGAAAGCUCCGGCUAAAUACGU